GAUGAACGCUGGCGGCGUGCCUAAUACAUGCAAGUCGAGCGAACGGACGAGAAGCUUGCUUCUCUGAUGUUAGCGGCGGACGGGUGAGUAACACGUGGAUAACCUACCUAUAAGACUGGGAUAACUUCGGGAAACCGGAGCUAAUACCGGAUGAUAUUUUGAACCGCAUGGUUCAAAAGUGAAAGACGGUCUUGCUGUCACUUAUAGAUGGAUCCGCGCUGCAUUAGCUAGUUGGUAAGGUAACGGCUUACCAAGGCAACGAUGCAUAGCCGACCUGAGAGGGGGAUCGGCCACACUGGAACUGAGACACGGUCCAGACUCCUACGGGAGGCAGCAGUAGGGAAUCUUCCGCAAUGGGCGAAAGCCUGACGGAGCAACGCCGCGUGAGUGAUGAAGGUCUUCGGAUCGUAAAACUCUGUUAUUAGGGAAGAACAUAUGUGUAAGUAACUGUGCACAUCUUGACGGUACCUAAUCAGAAAGCCACGGCUAACUACGUG
RNAcentral lists this ribosomal RNA (497 nucleotides) under uncultured bacterium. RNAcentral's name for it is "partial 16S ribosomal RNA". It matches the Rfam family "Bacterial small subunit ribosomal RNA", at positions 28 to 507 of the family's 1533-position model. The record is from RNAcentral.